RNAcentral lists this ribosomal RNA (257 nucleotides) under uncultured bacterium. RNAcentral describes it as "partial 16S ribosomal RNA". It matches the Rfam family "Bacterial small subunit ribosomal RNA", at positions 524 to 776 of the family's 1533-position model. The record is from RNAcentral.
UACGUAGGGCGCAAGCGUUAUCCGGAAUUAUUGGGCGUAAAGAGCUCGUAGGCGGUUUUGUCGCGUCUGCCGUGAAAGUCCGGGGCUCAACUCCGGAUCUGCGGUGGGUACGGGCAGACUAGAGUGAUGUAGGGGGAGACUGGAAUUCCUGGUGUAGCGGUGAAAUGCGCAGAUAUCAGGAGGAACACCGAUGGCGAAGGCAGGUCUCUGGGCAUUAACUGACGCUGAGGAGCGAAAAGCAUGGGGGAGCGAACAGG